CAGGUUGUUUUGAGAUUCAUAUUACAACGCAAUAUCAUUGUGAUUCCAAAAUCAGUUACUCCGUCUAGAAUCAAGGAGAAUUUUGAUGUGAGUAGAUCAUGUAAGAUCAAAAUGUUUAAGAUUGAAGAUAUGGGAGUGCCAGUGACACAACGGAUGUGUUGAAUUGUCAUGAAACAAUUUUUGUGUCUAAAUCCUUCGUAUGAAAAGCAUAGACAAUUACUUACACAUUUAUAUUGCAUUUAAAAAUUAAGUUCUGUAAUCGUAUAACCAUUUUUAUAGGUAAUAAAAUCAAAGUAAAUUACAGUUUAGCUCACAAAUCGAAUUUCAAAUACGUGUUUACUACCAAAAUGUUUUAUAUACUGUCAGUUUUUUUUUUUUUUUUUAGAUCAAAGAUCUUUGAUAUUUUUUUCUUAAAUCAGUUAGAUUUUUUUUAUAGAAAAUUCUAUUACUGAUUUCACAGUUCUUGAUUCAUUUACGAGCCACUUAUCACAGGAUCAGACAUUAUUUGUACAAAAUAUUCCUUUUAAAAUGCACUUCAAUGAUCAAUUCGCAAUUCAAAAUAAUUUUAUCCUCAUGAACAAGACAGUAGAAACCUAUCGACAAUUAUUUUACUUCUUAUCAUACUUUCAGAAAAAAAAAUAUUAGAGUUAUCUUCUUCAGGUGUUCACUUUUUCGUUGUCACCAGACGAGAUGGAACAAAUAUGGACAUUAGAUAAACAUCCCCGUUUAUUUACAGAGAAGUGGUAAGGUUCAAUAUGUAUUUCAUCAUAAAACAGUGUAUUUCUUUUUCUUUGCUACAUUACCCUUCCAAAUUCAAAAACUUAAUAAUAUCGUUUGAUGACAAAAUCAUAUGCAGCAAUUAUUGAUUCUUCUUUUUUGUAAUCAUACAAUCGUUCUUUCUGUUAAUUUAAUAAGCAAUCACACAACAUUACUAACAAAGUCGCAAAAGAUAGCAUUCCAAUACAACUAGAGGUCAUCAGAUGGUCAAGUUUCUCUAUCUUGUGACAGGUUCCCCAUUGUCUAUUGUACUUUGUCUUUGUUUCGAUGAAGCAAACUAUUCUUUCUUAUUUUGCAAUUGACGAUUUCUUCUUUUGUAGAGUACACAAAUACAUCUAUCAUAUAAAUCAAUAUACUAUUUUUUAUCAUCUGAUCAUUUGUCCCCUGUAUUCAAUUAGUUGUAUAUAGUCAUCGACAAACUUUUUACCAAGUCCUCUUUACUAUCAGAAUAAGGGUUUUAAGCAUUCUUUCAAAAUUCCAAAAAAACUCCGUUUGAAGUGAUCCUUUUAAGCAAAAUAAGUCAUGUGUUUCUAUUAUUUUUAUUUGCAUAUACUAUAACACUAACUGAUCAUAUUCUAUUGCAGGGCAAGUGGGCAUCAAGAGUAUCCAUUCCAUGCAAAAUUCUAAGGAACUUUUUCUUUUACCACUUGUUCUAACCGGAUGACAAUACAGUUGUAUUUUCAUUUUAUUAUUUUAAUCCUCUCUAUAUCUGUAUCAAUAAUAAAAAUAAAUGAAGUUGGACGUCGACAAUUUAAAAGUGAACAAUUUACACUCUGGAAAUACAAUUGAGAAUGGAAAUGGGGAAUGUGUUAAAGAGACAACAACCCGACCAUAGAACAGACAACAGCAGAAGGUCACCAAUAGGUCUUCAAUGCAGCAAGAAACUCCCGCACCUGGAGGCGUCCUUCAGC
RNAcentral lists this long non-coding RNA (1688 nucleotides) under Mytilus galloprovincialis (Mediterranean mussel). The record is from RNAcentral. Lineage: Eukaryota; Metazoa; Mollusca; Bivalvia; Mytilida; Mytilidae.